UGUUAAACAACAAGUACCUGGAUACUUAAUCGAUGCACACAGGUGCCUUCUUAUGCAACCUGCCACGUGCUCCCGCCCGCGCGCACUUCACACGAGCGUAGUGUUUGUGCUAAGAAUUUAGUAACCUGCCGCCAAUAAGUUUGGCGAGAGAGUCAAUUUUAAGACAUCAACGUUCGGUGCGAAAUAUUUAUUGAAUUCCAUAGCCAUGCGACUCAUAUUCAGGUUAUGUUAUCAGGAGUCACUCGCACAAAUUGACCACAGAUUAUUAAGAAAACCAGUUUGUGCAACGUUCAGAAAUAUGCUGAUUAGUUAAGUGAUCCAACUUUUUAUUUUCAAAUAAAUACUAGUAAUUGUAACAUAUUAAGAGCAUUGUUAUUUUGCA
Helicoverpa zea (corn earworm) is the source of this 382-nucleotide long non-coding RNA. RefSeq lists it as uncharacterized. NCBI's taxonomy places the organism in Eukaryota, Metazoa, Arthropoda, Insecta, Lepidoptera, Noctuidae. The transcript has 2 exons. The record is from RefSeq and is a predicted model, not a curated record.